RNAcentral lists this transfer RNA (71 nucleotides) under Acheilognathus tabira erythropterus. Its description in RNAcentral is "tRNA-Gly". It matches the Rfam family "tRNA". From Rfam's summary of the family: Transfer RNA (tRNA) molecules are approximately 80 nucleotides in length. Their secondary structure includes four short double-helical elements and three loops (D, anti-codon, and T loops). Further hydrogen bonds mediate the characteristic L-shaped molecular structure. tRNAs have two regions of fundamental functional importance: the anti-codon, which is responsible for specific mRNA codon recognition, and the 3' end, to which the tRNAs corresponding amino acid is attached (by aminoacyl-tRNA synthetases). tRNAs cope with the degeneracy of the genetic code in two manners: having more than one tRNA (with a specific anti-codon) for a particular amino acid; and 'wobble' base-pairing, i.e. permitting non-standard base-pairing at the 3rd anti-codon position. Lineage: Eukaryota; Metazoa; Chordata; Actinopteri; Cypriniformes; Acheilognathidae. The record is from RNAcentral.
AUCUUUCUAGUAUCAAGUUAGUACAAGUGACUUCCAAUCAUUUAGUCUUGGUUAAAUCCCAGGGAAAGAUA